CCGUAAACGAUGAGUGUUAGGUGUCUGGAGUAAAUCUGGGUGCCGCAGCUAACGCAUUAAACACUCCGCCUGGGGAGUACGCACGCAAGUGUGAAACUCAAAGGAAUUGACGGGGGCCCGCACAAGCGGUGGAGCAUGUGGUUUAAUUCGAAGCAACGCGAAGAACCUUACCAAGUCUUGACAUAUUUUGGAAGCACUUAGAGAUAAGAGCCUAUAUCUUCGGAUAACUGAAAUACAGGUGGUGCAUGGUUGUCGUCAGCUCGUGUCGUGAGAUGUUGGGUUAAGUCCCAUAACGAGCGCAACCCCUUUUGCUAGUUACCAUCAUUAAGUUGGGGACUCUAGCAAUACUGCCGGUGACAAACCGGAGGAAGGUGGGGAUGACGUCAAAUCAUCAUGCCCUUUAUGACUUGGGCUACACACGUGCUACAAUGGCAGGGACA
RNAcentral lists this ribosomal RNA (440 nucleotides) under uncultured Pelagophyceae. Its description in RNAcentral is "partial Bacterial small subunit ribosomal RNA". It matches the Rfam family "Bacterial small subunit ribosomal RNA", at positions 800 to 1241 of the family's 1533-position model. Lineage: Eukaryota; Pelagophyceae. The record is from RNAcentral.